RNAcentral lists this ribosomal RNA (468 nucleotides) under uncultured bacterium. Its description in RNAcentral is "partial 16S ribosomal RNA". It matches the Rfam family "Bacterial small subunit ribosomal RNA", at positions 28 to 507 of the family's 1533-position model. The record is from RNAcentral.
GACGAACGCUGGCGGCGUGCUUAACACAUGCAAGUCGAACGGAAAGACCCUGCUUUUGUGGGGUGCUCGAGUGGCGAACGGGUGAGUAACACGUGAGUAACCUGCCCUUGACUUUGGGAUAACUUCAGGAAACUGGGGCGAAUACCGGAUAGGAGCUCCUGCUGCAUGGUGGGGGUUGGAAAGUUUCGGCGGUGGGGGAUGGACUCGCGGCUUAUCAGCUGGUUGGUGGGGUAGUGGCUUACCAAGGCUUUGACGGGUAGCCGGCCUGGGAGGGUGACCGGCCACCUUGCGCCUGCGGUACGGCCCAGACUCCUACGGGCGGCAGCAGUGGGGAAUAUUGCAGAAUGGGCGGAAGCCUGAUGCAGCAGCGCCGCGUGCGGGAUGACGGCCUUCGGGUUGUAAACCGCUUUCGCCUGUGACGAAGCGUGAGUGACGGUAAUGGGUAAAGAAGCACCGGCUAACUACGUG